This 493-nucleotide ribosomal RNA is filed under the name uncultured bacterium. RNAcentral describes it as "bacterial SSU rRNA". It matches the Rfam family "Bacterial small subunit ribosomal RNA", at positions 30 to 516 of the family's 1533-position model. The record is from RNAcentral.
AUUGAACGCUGGCGGCAGGCCUAACACAUGCAAGUCGAGCGGUAGAGAGGUGCUUGCAUCUCUUGAGAGCGGCGGACGGGUGAGUAAUGCCUAGGAAUCUGCCUAGUGGUGGGGGAUAACGUUCGGAAACGGACGCUAAUACCGCAUACGUCCUACGGGAGAAAGCGGGGGAUCUUCGGACCUCGCGCCAUUAGAUGAGCCUAGGUCGGAUUAGCUAGUUGGUGAGGUAAUGGCUCACCAAGGCGACGAUCCGUAACUGGUCUGAGAGGAUGACCAGUCACACUGGAACUGAGACACGGUCCAGACUCCUACGGGAGGCAGCAGUGGGGGAAUAUUGGACAAUGGGCGAAAGACCUGAUCCAGCCAUGCCGCGUGUGUGAAGAAGGUCUUCGGAUUGUAAAGCACUUAAGUUGGGAGGAGGGUAGUAACCUAAUACGUUGCUACUUUGACGUUACCGACAGAAUAAGCACCGGCUAACUUCGUGCCAGCAGCC